UGUUCAGGGGCCUGUGGCUCGGAGUGGCCGGCCGCCUCCUGAAAUUCCACAUGGCGCAGGAUGCCUCCCAAACCCAACUUGCCACCACUGCCAGCUUGGGCUUUUUUGACAAUCCCAGGUGCCUCCUGCAAACUGACAUCAGGAACCUGGGCUGCUGAGUUUUGUUUCCCAGAAAAAUGGGCCGGCCUUGCUGUUCAGUGACCUGUGGCCCCCUACUGAAUUUCUGGUAUCCAGCAAAGGUGCUGCUAGAAAACCUAUACCUUGUUUAUCUGAUUUACUUAUGUGAAGCAAAGUGCAAAAAAUGCAGAAGCCCCUGUUUCCAACAUACCACCCCACAAGUUAAAGGUCUCAAAGCAUGCAUAAUGGGAAACAGAUGACGUGAGUACAUACAAUGUUCCUCAGGAAGAAGAGCAGCUUUCUGGAGGUGCGCAAAGACACUUCUGGACAGGACUGCCAUUAGCACUCCAGCUCCUGGCUCAAAGCCCACGGAAUCAGAGAGAGAAUAUUUCACCAAUUGCAGGGCACUGCGGUGUCAUCCUUCUGUCACUUGACCUGGUCCUGCGAGCCAUUUCUCUGAAUUCUGAAACUGGAAAGGUUUAAGAAAACAUGCAAAAUGCUGAGGAUACACGUACGGUUAAGGAUACGCUACUAGCUGCUGCUGCUCCAGUAAAGGAGGCCAGGGGUUUCCAAGGCGUUUUCUGAUUAACAUCCUAAUGCUGGCAGACCACUUCUUACCUAAAGGGACACUAAAAGUUUGUUGCUAGCAUCAAACGUGACUUCUCCGUUUCCAAAAGGCCUGUAGGAGAUCAAGGUAAAUCUAUUUCAAUGUUCCUGAGAUCUCAUUCCUCGCUGUGAACUGGAGCUCCGCUGCUCUAAGGCAGGCUGGUAGCGAGAGGUUGCCAUUAUAGCACGAGGGAUUCCGUACAGUUUUGCUGGUUUGCUUGGGGGGUGGGGGAGAGAAAAGCUCACAAAGAACACGACAGGGAACCUAAAAUCCAAAUCUACGAGCCUGCCCCUCAUGAAUCCAUCGGCAUUAGCACUUUGUCUGUGAACGACAGUUUUCCAUCGCAGGGCGCUUUUAUCUCCUUUUGCCGUAGCAUUUGAGAAAGAAUAUCUGAUGUGCAAUAUUCGGAAUAUUUUAGUAACGUGACAGGCGCUCUCGAUCUUUUCCUUUCUGUAAGGCUCUACCCGAACUCCCCGAGCUAAUGGGGGGCUGAUGGGGAUGAUGAGGGGUACAUGGCUGUGGGGAUUUCCACAGGUACAGCGUUUGCCUGCGCACGCAGGGCUGGAGAGCUCCCGCGGACAUCCCGCUGGCCGGCUGCAGCCCCUGCCCGCAGCUCCGCGGGCGCUGCCCGGAGCCCCUUCCACCUUCGCAAUUAGCGUGGGUGCCCUGGGAAGGUUUCAGCGUGCGCUCCCCGGAUCCGCUCUGCCACCGAGCCCGCGUUCUCCCUGGCCACGGGCUACGGGCUAAAGCCUAGCACAGCGUGAACGAUCUCGUGUUUAGUUCGGAGGAUUUAGGACGAGGUCUAUAUGCAAAUUAAUAAUUGACCAACAAUAAUUAGGAGAAAGGGGAGGGUGUUCAGGCGGGGGGUGGGGGUGGGGAGGAGGAGGAGGUGUUCUUUGAGGAGAAGUGGUUUGGAUUUCGCCUGCCGCAUUUGAGGCCGUGGCGUGUCCGGCUGCGGGCGCAGGGCGCUGCCCGGGCCAGCCGCCUCCCGCCCCGCAGGGCACCAGAGCUUCACACCCUCUCCGUCAGCACCUGAACUUUUCAAGACACUUCCAGUUUAAUCAUUUCCAGAAAUUUAAAGCGCGUCGUAAUAACAGCAACAGGAUUACGAUCCUGUUGCCUGCAAGUCGGGUGGUUAAAGCCAGGUCUAUUUUUAAAUCCUAACGCUAUUUUCUGCUCUACGAGCUUGUGGUGGAGUGCAGUGCUAUUAAUGAUCAGUCUCAUCUGUUUGUAUAGUCCGCGGGCACUGCAACCAAUCUAGACACAAAGAAGGGAAAUCUGAAUAGAAUUACAUCUCUUGGUGGUGGCACUAAAUGUAGCUAAUACAGUUUCCAGUAUUCAAAUAGGUUGCGGUUUAUUUUAUCUCAUUUUUAAAUUAUUUUUUUUAUUUUAAAAUACAUUAUUUAAAAUUGCACUUCGGAGUCAGAUCCAACGUAUUUUACCGUCACCAUCUUUCUUCUCCUUUGAGUCCUCUCGAGUGUUCCGUAAAGCAACUUUCGGAUCGCUGUGCUAGGGACAUGUUAAAGCCGGUGCAUGGCAGCCAGACUCGGGCAGCAGCCCCUCUGCUCCCCUGCCAGGCUGCGCGGGGCUGGCGGUGCGAGGGACACAAGCGCUGGGUGUUUUAAGCGUUACCGGCAUCGGAUUAAAACUCCCCAAACCUCCAAUGUGCUUGUAGCUCCCGG
Passer domesticus (house sparrow) is the source of this 2406-nucleotide long non-coding RNA. RefSeq lists it as uncharacterized. The record is from RefSeq and is a predicted model, not a curated record. The transcript has 6 exons. Lineage: Eukaryota; Metazoa; Chordata; Aves; Passeriformes; Passeridae.